CAAAAUAUAGUUUAAUUAGAAAAAUAUCUCGUUUACAUUGAGGAGAAAUAUUGUGAGAAUCAAAUUAUUUUGA
RNAcentral lists this transfer RNA (73 nucleotides) under Allogalathea elegans. RNAcentral's name for it is "tRNA-Val". It matches the Rfam family "tRNA". From Rfam's summary of the family: Transfer RNA (tRNA) molecules are approximately 80 nucleotides in length. Their secondary structure includes four short double-helical elements and three loops (D, anti-codon, and T loops). Lineage: Eukaryota; Metazoa; Arthropoda; Malacostraca; Decapoda; Galatheidae. The record is from RNAcentral.